GAGCGGCGGACGGGUGAGUAAUGCAUGGGGAUCUGCCCAGUAGCGGGGGACAACCCGGAGAAAUCCCGGCUAAUACCGCAUACGCCUACGGGGGAAAGCGGAGGACCGAAAGGCUUCGCACUAUUGGAGGAACCCAUGCCCGAUUAGCUAGUUGGUGAGGUAACGGCUCACCAAGGCUAAGACGGGUAGCUGGUCUGAGAGGAUGAUCAGCCACACUGGAACUGAGACACGGUCCAGACUCCUACGGGAGGCAGCAGUGGGGAAUCUUGCGCAAUGGGCGAAAGCCUGACGCAGCGACGCCGCGUGGGUGAUGAAGGCCUUCGGGUUGUAAAGCCCUGUGGGGAGAGACGAAUAAGUCGGAACUAACAAUUCCGAUGAUGACGGUAUCUCCUUAGCAAGCACCGGCUAACUCUGUGCCAGCAGCCGCGGUAAGACAGAGGGUGCAAACGUUGUUCGGAAUUACUGGGCGUAAAGCGUGUGUAGGCGGUUACGAAAGUCGGAUGUGAAAUCCCCGGGCUCAACCCGGGAAGUGCACCCGAAACUAUGUGACUUGAGUACCGGAGAGGUUGGUGGAAUUCUCGGUGUAGAGGUGAAAUUCGUAGAUAUCGAGAGGAACACCGGUGGCGAAGGCGGCCAACUGGACGAGUAC
Molecule: ribosomal RNA, 649 nt
Filed under: uncultured bacterium
Lineage: Bacteria
Description: bacterial SSU rRNA
Rfam family: Bacterial small subunit ribosomal RNA
Source: RNAcentral